CCCUGGCUCAGAGUGAACGCUGGCGGCAGGCCUAACACAUGCAAGUCGAACGGCAGCACAGCAGUAGCAAUACUGUGGGUGGCGAGUGGCGGACGGGUGAGGAAUGCAUCGGAAUCUGCCUAUUUGUGGGGGAUAACGUAGGGAAACUUACGCUAAUACCGCAUACGACCUACGGGUGAAAGUGGGGGACCGCAAGGCCUCACGCAGAUAGAUGAGCCGAUGCCGGAUUAGCUAGUUGGCGGGGUAAAGGCCCACCAAGGCGACGAUCCGUAGCUGGUCUGAGAGGAUGAUCAGCCACACUGGAACUGAGACACGGUCCAGACUCCUACGGGAGGCAGCAGUGGGGAAUAUUGGACAAUGGGCGCAAGCCUGAUCCAGCCAUGCCGCGUGAGUGAAGAAGGCCUUCGGGUUGUAAAGCUCUUUUGUCCGGAAAGAAAAGCAUUCGGUUAAUAACCGAGUGUCAUGACGGUACCGGAAGAAUAAGCACCGGCUAACU
RNAcentral lists this ribosomal RNA (496 nucleotides) under Lysobacter sp. CL1.14. RNAcentral's name for it is "bacterial SSU rRNA". It matches the Rfam family "Bacterial small subunit ribosomal RNA", at positions 17 to 502 of the family's 1533-position model. The record is from RNAcentral. Lineage: Bacteria; Pseudomonadati; Pseudomonadota; Gammaproteobacteria; Lysobacterales; Lysobacteraceae.